UUUCGCAAUGCCCGAAAGGGUGACGAAGCGACGCCGCGUGAGUGAGGAAGGCCUUCGGGUUGUAAAGCUCUGUCAGGAGUUAAGAAAUAUAAGUGUGCUAAUACCACAUUUAUUUGACGAAGGCUCCAAAGGAAGCCACGGCUAACUCUGUGCCAGCAGCCGCGGUAAUACAGAGGUGGCAAGCGUUGUUCGGAAUUAUUGGGCGUAAAGAGCACGUAGGUGGGUUUGUAAGUCAGAUGUGAAAGCCUUCUGUUCAACGGAAGAAUUGCAUCUGAAACUGCGAGUCUUGAGUGUAGGAGGGGAGAGUGGAACUUCUGGUGGAGCGGUGAAAUGCGUAGAUAUCAGAAGGAACGCCGGCGGCGAAAGCGAUUCUCUGGCCUAUUACUGACACUCAGUGUGCGAAAGCUAGGGGAGCAAACGGGAUUAGAUACCCCGGUAGUCCUAGCCGUAAACGAUGGGCACUAAGUAGAGGGGUUUUA
This 479-nucleotide ribosomal RNA is filed under the name uncultured anaerobic ammonium-oxidizing bacterium. Its description in RNAcentral is "bacterial SSU rRNA". It matches the Rfam family "Bacterial small subunit ribosomal RNA", at positions 364 to 833 of the family's 1533-position model. The record is from RNAcentral.